RNAcentral lists this long non-coding RNA (382 nucleotides) under Populus tremula. RNAcentral describes it as "long non-coding RNA (PTRE_LNC002403)". The record is from RNAcentral. Lineage: Eukaryota; Viridiplantae; Streptophyta; Magnoliopsida; Malpighiales; Salicaceae.
AAACAAUUUAACAUUCAGAUGAGAUUGCUUCAUGACCAAGUAGACCUCGUAAAUUUGAGGAUUCAAGCAUCCAAGUAAACACCAUGAAUCCAGAAUUGACUUGGCAUGCCAAAAAUAUAUGAAAGAAGACAGUUACACAUUCCACAACAUAAUGGAAGCAAAACCAAAAAACUCAGAUGCUUGAAAUCAUUGAAUAUCUAAAAAUUAACCCCAACAAUCCAAAUAGCAACCAAAAUUACCUUGAGCUAUUGAAGAAAUUCAGCACUGACAUUACUCAUGGACCAAGUUACAAAACACUUAAGCCACAGCUGAGGGCUUUGAGGCAACAGAUAGUCUAGAUCUCUUCUUUGCCAAGCUCUCACUGCGGCGCUCACGCUGCUCC